Molecule: unclassified non-coding RNA, 223 nt
Filed under: Hevea brasiliensis (rubber tree)
Lineage: Eukaryota; Viridiplantae; Streptophyta; Magnoliopsida; Malpighiales; Euphorbiaceae
Source: RNAcentral
GUCUGGUAUAGGUUCUUUCUCAACAAAGAUUAUGGAAGCCUUUUUUCAUCACUGAUAACAGGAUUGUACUUGACGUUUAAGCUUACAUCAAUCGUUGAGAAGGUUCGGUCAUUCCUUACUGCUUUGAAGGCACUGUCAAUUAAGGAAAUCCAUUAUGGGUCACAUGCCACACCUGAACAGGUAAAUGCAGCUGGUGAUCUAUGUGCUAUUUGCCAAGAGAAGA